UAGAGUUUGAUCCUGGCUCAGAACGAACGCUGGCGGCGUGCCUAACACAUGCAAGUCGAACGAGAAAUCGGGCACUCAGGCAACUGAGUGCCGGAGAGUAAAGUGGCGCACGGGUGAGUAACACGUGGGUAACCUACCCCCGAAUCUGGGAUAACCUCGCGAAAGCGUUGCUAAUACCGGAUAUUGUCCUAUUGGUUGUGACCUUUGGGAUGAAAGGCAACCUCUUCAUGAAAGUUGUCGUUCAGGGAUGGGCCCGCGUACCAUUAGCUUGUUGGUGGGGUAACGGCUCACCAAGGCUACGAUGGUUAGCUGGUCUGAGAGGAUGAUCAGCCACACUGGAACUGAAACACGGUCCAGACUCCUACGGGAGGCAGCAGUGAGGAAUUUUGCGCAAUGGGGGAAACCCUGACGCAGCAACGCCGCGUGAGUGAAGAAGGCUUUCGGGUCGUAAAGCUCUGUCAAGUGGGAAAAAAGUCUGAUGAUUAAUAGUUGUCAGAUCUGAUGGUACCACUGAAGGAAGCACCGGCUAACUCCGUGCCAGCAGCCGCGGUAAUACGGAGGGUGCAAGCGUUGUUCGGAAUUACUGGGCGUAAAGGGCGUGCAGGCGGGUUGGUAAGUCAGAUGUGAAAGCCCUGGGCUCAACCCAGGAAGUGCAUUUGAAACUGCCAUCCUAGAGUAUGGGAGAGGGAAGUGGAA
RNAcentral lists this ribosomal RNA (696 nucleotides) under uncultured delta proteobacterium. RNAcentral describes it as "bacterial SSU rRNA". It matches the Rfam family "Bacterial small subunit ribosomal RNA", at positions 1 to 666 of the family's 1533-position model. The record is from RNAcentral. Lineage: Bacteria; Deltaproteobacteria.